ACUGAGACCUAGACAACCAGGUGAGGGGAGUUCCUUACUGAGACCUAGACAACCAGGUGAGGAGAGUUCCUUACUGAGACCUAGACAACCAGGUGAGGGGAGUUCCUUACUGAGACCUAGACAACCAGGUGAGGGGAGUUCCUUACUGAGACAACCAGGUGAGGGGAGUUCCUUACUGAGACCUAGACAACCAGGUGAGGGGAGUUCCUUACUGAGACAACCAGGUGAGGGAGUUCCUUACUGAGACCUAGACAACCAGGUGAGGGGAGUUCCUUACUGAGACCUAGACAACCAGGUGAGGAGAGUUCCUUACUGAGAC
Long non-coding RNA from Oncorhynchus tshawytscha (Chinook salmon), 319 nucleotides. Lineage: Eukaryota; Metazoa; Chordata; Actinopteri; Salmoniformes; Salmonidae. The record is from Ensembl.